RNAcentral lists this small nucleolar RNA (71 nucleotides) under Coturnix japonica (Japanese quail). RNAcentral describes it as "Small nucleolar RNA SNORD50 (ENSCJPG00005004287.1)". It matches the Rfam family "Small nucleolar RNA SNORD50". Rfam says of the family: U50 belongs to the C/D class of snoRNA which contain the C (UGAUGA) and D (CUGA) box motifs. Most of the members of the box C/D family function in directing site-specific 2'-O-methylation of substrate RNAs. U50 is an intronic snoRNA gene located on chromosome 6q15, at the breakpoint of chromosomal translocation t(3;6)(q27;q15). The record is from Rfam by way of RNAcentral. Lineage: Eukaryota; Metazoa; Chordata; Aves; Galliformes; Phasianidae.
CAUCUGUGAUGAUCCUAUCCCGAACCUGAAUUCUUUGCUGAAAAACCUACAACGGAUCCGGCAUCUGAGAU